Mycena polygramma is the source of this 91-nucleotide non-coding RNA. NCBI's taxonomy places the organism in Eukaryota, Fungi, Basidiomycota, Agaricomycetes, Agaricales, Mycenaceae. The record is from the annotation of a GenBank genome assembly.
GCCCUGGUAGAUCAGUUGGUAGAUACUCCGUUUGCAUUGGCUAUACGAUCGAACUUAAGCGGACGGCGCGUGUUCGAAUCCCGUCAGGGCA